AAAUUGAAGAGUUUGAUCAUGGCUCAGAUUGAACGCUGGCGGCAGGCCUAACACAUGCAAGUCGAACGGUAACAGGAAGAAGCUUGCUUCUUCGCUGACGAGUGGCGGACGGGUGAGUAAUGUCUGGGAAACUGCCUGAUGGAGGGGGAUAACUACUGGAAACGGUAGCUAAUACCGCAUAACGUCGCAAGACCAAAGAGGGGGACCUUCGGGCCUCUUGCCAUCGGAUGUGCCCAGAUGGGAUUAGCUUGUUGGUGGGGUAACGGCUCACC
This 272-nucleotide ribosomal RNA is filed under the name Escherichia coli. RNAcentral's name for it is "partial 16S ribosomal RNA". It matches the Rfam family "Bacterial small subunit ribosomal RNA", at positions 1 to 269 of the family's 1533-position model. Lineage: Bacteria; Pseudomonadati; Pseudomonadota; Gammaproteobacteria; Enterobacterales; Enterobacteriaceae. The record is from RNAcentral.